Candidatus Wildermuthbacteria bacterium is the source of this 87-nucleotide non-coding RNA. Lineage: Bacteria; Candidatus Wildermuthiibacteriota. The record is from Rfam.
GGAGAGGUGGCUGAGUGGCCGAAAGCGGCACGCUGCUAAUGUGUUAAGGGGUAAUACCCUUCGUGGGUUCGAAUCCCACCCUCUCCG